ACGUACAGAACAGAUGUUCAGUGACAUACAGUGAGCUGAAGGAAGCACAUUUAUUUGGCUGCUCUAACAGACACCACGGAGAGGCGCGGAUACGCACACAGACAUUUGUGAGACGUGGCCCUCCUGCUUGCUGUGCUCCAGGACUCGGCCCAGGUGACGGCUGUGUCCUUCUGGUUCCUCUGGAUGACCGUCCAGCCCCCGCCGGUGGUGUUCAUCUCGCAGUACACCACGAGCUGGUGGAGGCCCU
This 247-nucleotide long non-coding RNA is filed under the name Gallus gallus (chicken). The record is from RNAcentral. Lineage: Eukaryota; Metazoa; Chordata; Aves; Galliformes; Phasianidae.